UGGAUAAAUGAUGGGAGGGGGAGGCAUAAGAAUCUUGGAUGAUCGACACUGCAGGUCUGGAACUCUGAGGGCCAA
This is a small nucleolar RNA of Hyaena hyaena (striped hyena), 75 nucleotides long. RefSeq annotates it as small nucleolar RNA SNORD113/SNORD114 family. NCBI's taxonomy places the organism in Eukaryota, Metazoa, Chordata, Mammalia, Carnivora, Hyaenidae. The record is from RefSeq and is a predicted model, not a curated record. The transcript has a single exon.